Non-coding RNA from Zonotrichia albicollis (white-throated sparrow), 912 nucleotides. The record is from RefSeq and is a predicted model, not a curated record. NCBI's taxonomy places the organism in Eukaryota, Metazoa, Chordata, Aves, Passeriformes, Passerellidae.
CUAAACUUGAGCUCACUUGUCACAAUGGAAUUUAAUUAUCUGCUGGAGAGAAGCCCUGACAGCUGUGGCGUAGGUUUUUCAAUGUGAUGUUGCUGGAUCGCAAGAAAAAUAUCAAGGGCUGGUGAGAACAGCCAUGUUCUAAAAGCAUCUCUGGCUGGGUUAGCCCACUGCCUACCAAAGAGGGCGUAAGUUGGAAGAGUUGGAAGCACAGUGUUUGUUUACCACAUUGCCCCUGGGUUUGCCUCUGGCUUGUGCAUCCUGGGGGAGAGGCAGUGGGUCUGCUACUGGUUCCUCAAACAUUGACAUCUGUGUUGGCCUUCUGUAGUGAAACCAUUUUCCUAGCAGCAGCAUCAGGCUCUUCUCCACACUAUUUCCCUUAUCAGCACACUGCGUGGUGCGUACGCAGUGUCUCGGUGCAGCCGGGUGAGUGUGUUGUCUGCACAGUAAUCACCAAGAACAAAGACUCGUCUGCACGGUCAGUGAGCAGGGCUGGGGGCCGUGUGCCACACGUGUGCCUGAGACACUGCCUGGCUUUGCAGGGCUGUGGCAGGAGGGAGCUGAGCCUGUGCAAGCCCCAAACCACACUCAGCGCCCACCUUGCAUGGCUUGGGGCCCACAGGCACCGGUCACUGUGUCCCACAGGAGCCAUCCCAAGCACAGGAGAGUGGGAAGUGCUCCUUGGCCAUGCUCAUCCAUGGCAUCAGGGAUCAGCACUGUGAGGACAGGAAGUGGCAACCUGCCUUUUUAAAGUUCUUGAGGAACUUUGACACAGUUUGAUACUUUCAUAUCGGUGUUCCUUGCCAAAGACAAGGGAAAUCCUACGAUUGUAGUAAAUAUUUAUCUUAAACGAAAUGAGAAUAAUUAAAUGGCACUUUCAUUGCCAUAUUCUAUUCAAUUAUGCUGACUAUUAAC